GACGAACGCUGGCGGCGUGCUUAACACAUGCAAGUCGAGCGGUAAGGCCCUUUCGGGGUACGACGAGCGGCGAACGGGUAGAGUAACACGUGGGUGGACCUGCCCUCCAGCUCUGGGAGUAAAGCCUCGGGAAACCGGGGUACCGUAAUAACCGGAUAUGACUCCAUGACGCAUGUUGUGGGGUGGAAAGCCUUGUGCGGCUGAGGAUGGGCCC
Molecule: ribosomal RNA, 214 nt
Filed under: uncultured bacterium
Lineage: Bacteria
Description: partial 16S ribosomal RNA
Rfam family: Bacterial small subunit ribosomal RNA
Source: RNAcentral